Molecule: ribosomal RNA, 905 nt
Filed under: uncultured Acinetobacter sp.
Lineage: Bacteria; Pseudomonadati; Pseudomonadota; Gammaproteobacteria; Moraxellales; Moraxellaceae
Description: bacterial SSU rRNA
Rfam family: Bacterial small subunit ribosomal RNA
Source: RNAcentral
UGCCGCGUGUGUGAAGAAGGCCUUUUGGUUGUAAAGCACUUUAAGCGAGGAGGAGGCUACUUAGAUUAAUACUCUAGGAUAGUGGACGUUACUCGCAGAAUAAGCACCGGCUAACUCUGUGCCAGCAGCCGCGGUAAUACAGAGGGUGCGAGCGUUAAUCGGAUUUACUGGGCGUAAAGCGUGCGUAGGCGGCUUCUUAAGUCGGAUGUGAAAUCCCUGAGCUUAACUUAGGAAUUGCAUUCGAUACUGGGAAGCUAGAGUAUGGGAGAGGAUGGUAGAAUUCCAGGUGUAGCGGUGAAAUGCGUAGAGAUCUGGAGGAAUACCGAUGGCGAAGGCAGCCAUCUGGCCUAAUACUGACGCUGAGGUACGAAAUCAUGGGGAGCAAACAGGAUUAGAUACCCUGGUAGUCCAUGCCGUAAACGAUGUCUACUAGCCGUUGGGGCCUUUGAGGCUUUAGUGGCGCAGCUAACGCGAUAAGUAGACCGCCUGGGGAGUACGGUCGCAAGACUAAAACUCAAAUGAAUUGACGGGGGCCCGCACAAGCGGUGGAGCAUGUGGUUUAAUUCGAUGCAACGCGAAGAACCUUACCUGGUCUUGACAUAGUAAGAACUUUCCAGAGAUGGAUUGGUGCCUUCGGGAACUUACAUACAGGUGCUGCAUGGCUGUCGUCAGCUCGUGUCGUGAGAUGUUGGGUUAAGUCCCGCAACGAGCGCAACCCUUUUCCUUAUUUGCCAGCGGGUUAAGCCGGGAACUUUAAGGAUACUGCCAGUGACAAACUGGAGGAAGGCGGGGACGACGUCAAGUCAUCAUGGCCCUUACGACCAGGGCUACACACGUGCUACAAUGGUCGGUACAAGGGUUGCUACCUAGCGAUAGGAUGCUAAUCUCAAAAAGCCGAUCGUAGU